GAUGAAGAACGUAGCGAAAUGCGAUAAGUAGUGUGAAUUGCAGAAUUCAGUGAAUCAUCGAAUCUUUGAACGCACAUUGCGCCCCUUGGUAUUCCAUGGGGCAUGCCUGUUCGAGCGUCAUUUGUACCUUCAAGCUUUGCUUGGUGUUGGGUGUUUGUCCUGAGGGACUCGCCUUAAAGUAAUUGGCAGCCAGUGUUUGGUUUUGAAGCGCAGCACAAGUCGCGAUUCAAAGCUAUACGCCCGCUUCCACAAGCCUUUUUCACUUUUGACCUCGGAUCAGGUAGGGAUACCCGCUGAACUUAAGCAUAUCAAAAGCGGAGGA
Molecule: unclassified non-coding RNA, 322 nt
Filed under: soil metagenome
Description: partial contains 5.8S ribosomal RNA, internal transcribed spacer 2, and large subunit ribosomal RNA
Rfam family: 5.8S ribosomal RNA (bases 1-120)
Source: RNAcentral